AAGGGCACCACAAGAACGCGUGGAGCAUGUGGCUUAAUUUGACUCAACGCGGGGAAACUUACCGGGUCCGGACACACUGAGGAUUGACAGGUGCUGGUUUUAAGCUAAAAAGCUUCGGUUUAUUAGCAUAAAGCCAUAAAUAUGCUAGUCCUUUCAUGAUUGUGUGAUAGGUGGUGCAUGGCCGUUCUUAGUUCGUGGAGUGAUCUGUCUGCUUAAUUGCGUUUCAGAUUAUAGGUUCUUAAAGGCUUUUGUGUCUCUUUUUUUUUUUNGUGCGUGUGCCUUCGGGUACGUGCGCGAAAAAUUUAAGCGCACAGCCAAUGAACCUUGAAGGUAACGAACGUGACCGCAACCCCUUGUUGCCUUCCUUCCAUCUUUUGAUGGACUGCUGCCUCGUGAUUUUUGUUUUUGGUUCUGUUUCAUUUUUUUUUCGGAAAAAGUGAGACAGUUGCUGAAGCAUGAUCAUGAGGAUUUGCAGAGUGGAGUUGCUUUAACUAGGGGGACCGCCGACCUUUUUAAAACGGAGGAAGGUUGCGGCAAUAACAGGUCUGUGAUGCCCUUAGAUGUUCCGGGCUGCACACGUGCUACAAUGAUUGUUGCAGUGAGCAUCUUACAAGUUCGCUUUCUGAUUUUUGCUUUCGGGCAAAAAUUGGGUUGCGACACACCUACUUCGAAAGUAAGUAGGUAAUCAAUUCGAAGUAACAGUUUUCCUUUGCACAUUAAUCGCUUUGCAGCAGAUUUUUUGUGUGUGCUUUCGGGCACAUAUGGAGAAAAUGUUGCAAAGUGUGCUCCAUUUGUUUCAUGGUGGGGACAGACCAUUGCAAUUGUUGGUCUCGGUCUUAACUAGGAAUGCCUUGUACGGGUCAUGGUUCAACAGACCACCCGGAAUAUGUCCCUGCCCUUUGUACACACCGCCCGUCGCUCUUACCGAUGGACUUCUCUGUGAGUUUGGGGGACUGGCUUCUUUUAGCUAUGGAAACUUAAACGAACAGUGUGGUCUAAAGGAAAGAGAAGUCGAACAAGGCA
Molecule: ribosomal RNA, 1023 nt
Filed under: uncultured soil foraminiferan
Lineage: Eukaryota; Foraminifera
Description: partial small subunit ribosomal RNA
Rfam family: Eukaryotic small subunit ribosomal RNA
Source: RNAcentral